This 497-nucleotide ribosomal RNA is filed under the name uncultured bacterium. RNAcentral's name for it is "partial 16S ribosomal RNA". It matches the Rfam family "Bacterial small subunit ribosomal RNA", at positions 28 to 507 of the family's 1533-position model. The record is from RNAcentral.
GAUGAACGCUGGCGGCGUGCCUAAUACAUGCAAGUCGAGCGAACGGACGAGAAGCUUGCUUCUCUGAUGUUAGCGGCGGACGGGUGAGUAACACGUGGAUAACCUACCUAUAAGACUGGGAUAACUUCGGGAAACCGGAGCUAAUACCGGAUAAUAUUUUGAACCGCAUGGUUCAAAAGUGAAAGACGGUCUUGCUGUCACUUAUAGAUGGAUCUGCGCUGCAUUAGCUAGUUGGUAAGGUAACGGCUUACCAAGGCAACGAUGCAUAGCCGACCUGAGAGGGUGAUCGGCCACACUGGAACUGAGACACGGUCCAGACUCCUACGGGAGGCAGCAGUAGGGAAUCUUCCGCAAUGGGCGAAAGCCUGACGGAGCAACGCCGCGUGAGUGAUGAAGGUCUUCGGAUCGUAAAACUCUGUUAUUAGGGAAGAACAUAUGUGUAAGUAACUGUGCUCAUCUUGACGGUACCUAAUCAGAAAGCCACGGCUAACUACGUG